CAGCCGCCACGGUAAUACGUAGGGUGCGAGCGUUAAUCGGAAUUACUGGGCGUAAAGCGUGCGCAGGCGGUUUUGUAAGACAGGCGUGAAAUCCCCGGGCUCAACCUGGGAAUGGCGCUUGUGACUGCAAAGCUAGAGUGCGGCAGAGGGGGAUGGAAUUCCGCGUGUAGCAGUGAAAUGCGUAGAUAUGCGGAGGAACACCGAUGGCGAAGGCAAUCCCCUGGGCCUGCACUGACGCUCAUGCACGAAAGCGUGGGGAGCAAACAGGAUUAGAUACCCCUGUAGUCCCUGUCUCUUAUAA
Molecule: ribosomal RNA, 301 nt
Filed under: uncultured bacterium
Lineage: Bacteria
Description: partial 16S ribosomal RNA
Rfam family: Bacterial small subunit ribosomal RNA
Source: RNAcentral